AUGCAGUCGAGCGAGCGGAACUAACAGAUUUACUUCGGUAAUGACGUUAGGAAAGCGAGCGGCGGAUGGGUGAGUAACACGUGGGGAACCUGCCCCAUAGUCUGGGAUACCACUUGGAAACAGGUGCUAAUACCGGAUAAGAAAGCAGAUCGCAUGAUCAGCUUUUAAAAGGCGGCGUAAGCUGUCGCUAUGGGAUGGCCCCGCGGUGCAUUAGCUAGUUGGUAAGGUAAAGGCUUACCAAGGCGAUGAUGCAUAGCCGAGUUGAGAGACUGAUCGGCCACAUUGGGACUGAGACACGGCCCAAACUCCUACGGGAGGCAGCAGUAGGGAAUCUUCCACAAUGGACGCAAGUCUGAUGGAGCAACGCCGCGUGAGUGAAGAAGGUUUUCGGAUCGUAAAGCUCUGUUGUUGGUGAAGAAGGAUAGAGGUAGUAACUGGCCUUUAUUUGACGGUAAUCAACCAGAAAGUCACGGCUAACUACGUGCCAGCAGCCGCGGUAAUACGUAGGUGGCAAGCGUUGUCCGGAUUUAUUGGGCGUAAAGCGAGCGCAGGCGGAAGAAUAAGUCUGAUGUGAAAGCCCUCGGCUUAACCGAGGAACUGCAUCGGAAACUGUUUUUCUUGAGUGCAGAAGAGGAGAGUGGAACUCCAUGUGUAGCGGUGGAAUGCGUAGAUAUAUGGAAGAACACCAGUGGCGAAGGCGGCUCUCUGGUCUGCAACUGACGCUGAGGCUCG
RNAcentral lists this ribosomal RNA (732 nucleotides) under Lactobacillus crispatus. Its description in RNAcentral is "bacterial SSU rRNA". It matches the Rfam family "Bacterial small subunit ribosomal RNA", at positions 55 to 755 of the family's 1533-position model. The record is from RNAcentral. Lineage: Bacteria; Bacillati; Bacillota; Bacilli; Lactobacillales; Lactobacillaceae.